AUGAUUUCGCUUUUCCUCCCACUGGGACAUUCUCAGGUAUGGAGGAAGAGGAAAAGAGUCUACACAGACCCAAAAACAAAGAAAGUCUUUCAGGAGCAGGCUGUGAUGAAGCAGUGGGAUUCAGGAUGGAAUGUAAUGUCAGAACACAAGCCCUCCCUGGAAAUCCAAAGGACAAUACCAGUGGUAGAGGUAGGUGUACUUUGUACAGUAUUAGGAUGGAUGCUUGAACCAUCUUAUUUGGAUAAUAGGAUAAGACUUGAAAGAUGGAGAAUUUGGGAAGUACUAGAUUGUAAAUGCUUGAGUAUAAAUAAUUCCCAGUCAGAAUGACCCUGCUGUAAGGGGUGUGGUGGGUGGCCUCUAAGAUGGACCUCAAUGAUCCCCACCUCCUGAUAUUCAUGCCUUUGUGGAAGUCCCUCCCCUUGAUUAUGGGUUAGAUUUAGUGAUUCACUUCUAGCAAAUAAAAUACAGCAGCAGUGAUAGGAUAUCUCUUUUAAGAUAAAAUUACAAAAAGAUUACAGAUUUCAUCUUGGACAUCCUAUCUUACUCACCCUGAGAAAUGCCAGCUACUGUAUUGUGAGCUUCCUACUGGAGACAUCCACAUGUCAAAGAACUGAAGAAGGUUUCCAGCCACUAGUUAGCAAGAAACUCAGGCUCCCAGUUCGACAGCCUGCAAGGAACUGAAGUAUGCACACAACCACAUGCGUGAGCGUGGAGAGAGAUUCUCCCCAUCAGAUCCUCGGAUGAGACCAUAGCCAUGGCCCUGUGGCUUGACUACAACCUCCUAAGAAGCCUUGAGCCAGCUAAAUUGCACCCAGAUUCCCGACCUACAG
Molecule: long non-coding RNA, 830 nt
Filed under: Canis lupus familiaris (dog)
Lineage: Eukaryota; Metazoa; Chordata; Mammalia; Carnivora; Canidae
Description: lncRNA (ENSCAFG00040005354.1)
Source: RNAcentral